Molecule: ribosomal RNA, 506 nt
Filed under: Glomus sp. 'Bad Sachsa'
Lineage: Eukaryota; Fungi; Glomeromycota; Glomeromycetes; Glomerales; Glomeraceae
Description: eukaryotic LSU rRNA
Rfam family: 5.8S ribosomal RNA (bases 111-260)
Source: RNAcentral
AAGGAUCAUUAUCAAUAUUCCGCGCGAAAGAAAAAUCUUUCUUUCGCGCACGUAUUUAAAACCCACACUUGAAACAAAAAAUUUAUUACUUAAAAAGUAAAUUGUAAGAUCACUUUCAACAACGGAUCUCUUGGCUCUCGCAUCGAUGAAGAACGUAGCAAAGUGCGAUAAGUAAUGUGAAUUGCAGAAUUCCGUGGAUCAUCGAAUUUUUGAACGCAAAUUGCACUCUUUUCACGAAGAGUAUGCCUGUUUGAGGGUCAUUAAAAUAAAAAAUCGAUUUGUUACCUUCUAAGUGUCAUUUCGGAAUUGAGUUACCUUAAAAACCUCUGUUUGAGUUUAAGUGACUUAAAAUUGAUCUUUUCGUUGAUUUGAGCGCAUUUUAUGGUUAAUACUUUGUGCUUGAACGACAUUAAUCUAUUAGGUAUGACCAUUUAUCAUGGUUUCGUACCCAUAAAUGUUUUAUGAAAUUUGACCUCAAAUCAGGUAGGAUUACCCGCUGAACUUAA